This 508-nucleotide ribosomal RNA is filed under the name uncultured bacterium. RNAcentral describes it as "partial 16S ribosomal RNA". It matches the Rfam family "Bacterial small subunit ribosomal RNA", at positions 30 to 523 of the family's 1533-position model. The record is from RNAcentral.
AUUGAACGCUGGCGGCAUGCAUAACACAUGCAAGUCGAACGGCAGCAUGAGUAGGGGUAACCUUACUUGAUGGCGAGUGGCGGACGGGUGAGUAAUAUGUAGGAAUCUACCUAGAGGAGGGGGAUAACUUGGGGAAACUCAAGCUAAUACCACAUAAGCCCUACGGGGGAAAGCAGGGGAUCGAAAGACCUUGUGCCUUAUGAUGAGCCUACAUCGGAUUAGCUAGUUGGUGGGGUAAAGGCCUACCAAGGCGACGAUCCGUAGCUGGUCUGAGAGGAUGAUCAGCCACACUGGGACUGAGACACGGCCCAGACUCCUACGGGAGGCAGCAGUGGGGAAUAUUGGACAAUGGGCGAAAGCCUGAUCCAGCAAUGCCGCGUGUGUGAAGAAGGCCUUAGGGUUGUAAAGCACUUUCAGUGGGGAGGAAGGGUGUAAUGCUAAUACCAUUGCACAUUGACGUUACCUACAGAAGAAGCACCGGCUAACUCUGUGCCAGCCGCCGCAGUAA